UUCCGGUUGAUCCUGCCGGACCUGACUGCUAUCGGAUUGAUACUAAGCCAUGCGAGUCAUUGCAGCAAUGCAAGGCAGACGGCUCAGUAACGCGUAGUCAACCUAACCUAUGGACGGGAAUAACCUCGGGAAACUGAGAAUAAUGCCCGAUAGAACACUAUAUCUGGAAUGGUUUGUGUUCCAAAUGAUUUAUCGCCGUAGGAUGGGACUGCGGCCUAUCAGUUUGUUGGUGAGGUAAUGGCCCACCAAGACUAUUACAGGUACGGGCUCUGAGAGGAGUAGCCCGGAGAUGGGUACUGAGACACGGACCCAGGCCCUAUGGGGCGCAGCAGGCGAGAAAACUUUGCAAUGUGCGAAAGCACGACAAGGUUAAUCCGAGUGGUUUGUGCUAAACGAACCUUUUGUCGGUCCUAGAAACACCGAUGAAUAAGGGGUGGGCAAGUUCUGGUGUCAGCCGCCGCGGUAAAACCAGCACCUCAAGUGGUCAGGAUGAUUAUUGGGCCUAAAGCAUCCGUAGCCGGCGCUAUAAGUUUUCGGUUAAAUCUGUACGCUCAACGUACAGGCUGCCGGGAAUACUGUAGCGCUAGGGAGUGGGAGAGGUAGACGGUACUCGGUAGGAAGGGGUAAAAUCCUUUGAUCUAUUGAUGACCACCUGUGGCGAAGGCGGUCUACCAGAACACGUCCGACGGUGAGGGAUGAAAGCUGGGGGAGCAAACCGGAUUAGAUACCCGGGUAGUCCCAGCUGUAAACUAUGCAAACUCAGUGAUGCAUUGGCUUGUGGCCAAUGCAGUGCUGCAGGGAAGCCGUUAAGUUUGCCGCCUGGGAAGUACGUACGCAAGUAUGAAACUUAAAGGAAUUGGCGGGGGAGCACCACAAGGGGUGAAGCCUGCGGUUCAAUUGGAUUCAACGCCGGA
RNAcentral lists this ribosomal RNA (914 nucleotides) under uncultured Nitrososphaerota archaeon. RNAcentral's name for it is "bacterial SSU rRNA". It matches the Rfam family "Archaeal small subunit ribosomal RNA", at positions 1 to 922 of the family's 1478-position model. Lineage: Archaea; Thermoproteati; Nitrososphaerota. The record is from RNAcentral.